AUCCUUUCGGUUCAUGAAAAUGAUGAUUGGUUGAUUCACAGAGGAUCUGUGAGGAGGUGUGGCCUAAUCCUUGUUACGCAUCACGCCUUCAGACCGUCUGAUC
Non-coding RNA from Poecilia formosa (Amazon molly), 103 nucleotides. The record is from Rfam. NCBI's taxonomy places the organism in Eukaryota, Metazoa, Chordata, Actinopteri, Cyprinodontiformes, Poeciliidae.